RNAcentral lists this ribosomal RNA (869 nucleotides) under uncultured anaerobic bacterium. Its description in RNAcentral is "bacterial SSU rRNA". It matches the Rfam family "Bacterial small subunit ribosomal RNA", at positions 29 to 896 of the family's 1533-position model. The record is from RNAcentral.
AUGAACGCUAGCGGCAGGCUUAACACAUGCAAGUCGAGGGGCAGCAUACCCAGCAAUGGGUGAUGGCGACCGGCGGAAGGGUGCGUAACGCGUGAGCAACAUACCCUAUACAGGGGGAUAAGCCAGGGAAACUUGGUCUAAUAUCCCAUAGGAAAUAGAUAAGGCAUCUUAUUUAUUUUAAAGCUUCGGUGGUAUAGGAUUGGCUCGCGUGACAUUAGCUAGAUGGAGGGGUAACGGCCCACCAUGGCAAUGAUGUCUAGGGGUUCUGAGAGGAAGAUCCCCCACACUGGGACUGAGACACGGCCCAGACUCCUACGGGAGGCAGCAGUGAGGAAUAUUGGACAAUGGAUGGAAAUCUGAUCCAGCCAUGCCGCGUGCAGGAAGACGGUCCUAUGGGUUGUAAACUGCUUUUAUACGGGAGCAAUAAGGUCUAUGCAUAGAUUGAUGAGAGUACCGUAUGAAUAAGCAUCGGCUAACUCCGUGCCAGCAGCCGCGGUAAUACGGAGGAUGCGAGCGUUAUCCGGAUUUAUUGGGUUUAAAGGGUGCGUAGGCGGCUUUGUAAGUCAGCGGUGAAAUUUUGCAGCUUAACUGUAAAAGCGCCGUUGAUACUGUGAAGCUAGGAUUUGGUUGCUGUGGGCGGAAUGCGUGGUGUAGCGGUGAAAUGCAUAGAGAUCACACAGAAUAUCGAUUGCGAAGGCAGCUCACAAAGCCAAUAUUGACGCUGAGGCACGAAAGUGUGGGGAUCAAACAGGAUUAGAUACCCUGGUAGUCCACACUGUAAACGAUGAUAACUCGCUGUCGGCGAUAGACCGUCGGUGGCCAAGCGAAAGCGAUAAGUUAUCCACCUGGGGAGUACGACCGCAAGGUUG